UAGGGAAUCUUCCGCAAUGGACGCAAGUCUGACGGAGCAACGCCGCGUGAGUGAAGAAGGAUUUCGGUUCGUAAAGCUCUGUUGUUCGAGAAGAACAGCGCAUAGAGUAACUGUUAUGCGUGUGACGGUAUCUAACCAGAAAGCCACGGCUAACUACGUGCCAGCAGCCGCGGUAAUACGUAGGUGGCAAGCGUUGUCCGGAUUUAUUGGGCGUAAAGCGAGCGCAGGCGGUCAAUUAAGUCUGAUGUGAAAGCCCCCGGCUCAACCGGGGAGGGUCAUUGGAAACUGGUUGACUUGAGUGCAGAAGAGGAGGGUGGAAUUCCAUGUGGAGCGGUGAAAUGCGUAGAUAUAUGGAGGAACACCAGUGGCGAAGGCGACUCUCUGGUCUGUAACUGACGCUGAGGCUCGAAAGCGUGGGUAGCAAACAGG
This 429-nucleotide ribosomal RNA is filed under the name Bacteroidota bacterium. Its description in RNAcentral is "Bacteroidetes bacterium partial 16S ribosomal RNA". It matches the Rfam family "Bacterial small subunit ribosomal RNA", at positions 355 to 776 of the family's 1533-position model. The record is from RNAcentral. Lineage: Bacteria; Pseudomonadati; Bacteroidota.